Molecule: long non-coding RNA, 626 nt
Organism: Cavia porcellus (domestic guinea pig)
Lineage: Eukaryota; Metazoa; Chordata; Mammalia; Rodentia; Caviidae
Exons: 3
Source: RefSeq, a predicted model, not a curated record
GCCGGCCCGCUUGCUAGCUCACAGCUCAGUCUCCCCGGCGGCGGCGGCGGCGCGGACCGAAACUCGCCCCCGAGCCGAGAUGCACAACUCCUCAGCGUCCCGAAGAUCGCCUCUCCAGGCUCGCUACAGAGAAUGAGACCUGGUAUACAUAGCACCUGAUGAGAACAAAGAGUACCUGGGCCAGAAACUCAAAAACAAAGCUGGAAUGAAGGGCAAAAAAGUAGGGCAUGGCUGCCAAUGCUCUUCCCACCCAAAGAGCAACAUAGGAACUCACCAGAAUUUCCUUAAAGUUCCAGAGUUAUGACUGCCAUUAGAAGUGACUUUUCCAUUGAUCCAGGAACAGAAGACAGAGAUGUACCAUGGACAAGCAACUAUGCGUUCGAGGGCCAGAUCCCUUGGUUCAAAUCCAAGCUGUAUGAUCUCAGACAAGUUGUGUACCUCCUCCCACACGUUAACCUCAUCUACUGGAUGAAUCCCUGCUUCAUCAGCACAUUUAGGGAACUGUGUGGAUUGGCACUUAGCACAAUACCUGGUACAAAGUAGGCAUUUUCUAUUCAUAUCCAUGAUGUAUAAAUGUUUUAUGCACAUUUUGCUUUUCAUUAAAAAAAAGACUUUAAGCGUUGCAA